RNAcentral lists this transfer RNA (57 nucleotides) under Rhinebothrium fulbrighti. Its description in RNAcentral is "tRNA-Tyr". Lineage: Eukaryota; Metazoa; Platyhelminthes; Cestoda; Rhinebothriidea; Rhinebothriidae. The record is from RNAcentral.
UCUGGUUUAACAUAUAUUUAAUGUGAAGAAUUGUAAAUUCUUUAAAAGUUUAAACUA